This is a long non-coding RNA of Chinchilla lanigera (long-tailed chinchilla), 1062 nucleotides long. RefSeq lists it as uncharacterized. The transcript is spliced from 2 exons. The record is from RefSeq and is a predicted model, not a curated record. Lineage: Eukaryota; Metazoa; Chordata; Mammalia; Rodentia; Chinchillidae.
AAGGUCCACUCGCCAGGGCCCCUGGUGGCCAUUGUCCUGCUUAUCUCAGCCUCCUGAUUGGAGCCUGGCCUGCCUUGAGACAGGUGCGGUACCACCGAGCUAUAUUCCCAGCCUCAACGGAGCUUCGGUCUUUACUGGGGACUGUCUUUACUCGCCAUACCAGGUACUGGAACCAUCCAAGGGGGUGCGGAGCCGGAGCCCAGCUCCCGUCAGAGAAGCAGACAGCAGGAGGUGCUGACAUUUAUUCAAACUUUGUCCAUACAGUAAGACCAUUGAUUUUUAAGUUUCAUUUACAUCAGCAGUAAAAACAAAAGUAACAGUGAACGAAAUGUGACAUUGUAAAGUGCCAUUACGAGGAAGAGACCACAGAGGGCAGGCUCCUGCUGAGAUGGGAGGAGCUCGGCCUGAACAACAGACAGGGGCAGCUAUGUCCCACAUCGCUCUCCAAAUCUGUGUUCACUGGAAAAGCCACCGAGUGUCCACGCGUCUUCUGUCGGCUGCGAGUCUCUGGGGUCUGGCAGCGACGGCUCUGCACCGUGGGAGGCAGGGCGCGAGGCCUUGACCACAGUGGGGUGGCGCCACAGGGUGAGGGCGCAGGGAGAGGGCCGUAAAGUGACACUGCUCAGCAGCUUGAGACAUAAAUACGUCCUUUACAUCAGAGCAUAUGUACACACGUGCACAUAUAUACACACAUACAAAAAUAUCUGCCUCGCUGGGCACUGAAAGUGAUUCAAAAGAAGAGAAUUGGCUUCUGAGACACACAGAAAAGGAGAAAAAUAGAAGAGCUUUCACCCGGCUCUGCCGCGACUUGGAUAACGGAGAAGCCCCAUGUCCAGGUCCACCCUGGCGACUCUGACCAGCACCUGGCACGCAGACUUCCUGCAAGGCGGCCGCAGGGGCACAGGGAAGGGCGCGGAGGUCCUGCCUGCCCCUGGGGAGGCCAGGUGAGGAUGCAGUGAACGCUCAUAUCCCAAGUGCAGCUGACAGUGUUGGGCCACAGAGACCCUGCAGAAAUUGCAUCUUUACAUUUUUCUUUAAAAACAAUAAAAAUAUCCUGACUCA